This 254-nucleotide ribosomal RNA is filed under the name uncultured bacterium. RNAcentral describes it as "partial 16S ribosomal RNA". It matches the Rfam family "Bacterial small subunit ribosomal RNA", at positions 524 to 776 of the family's 1533-position model. The record is from RNAcentral.
GACGUAGGGUCCAAGCGUUGUCCGGAUUUACUGGGCGUAAAGAGCGCGUAGGCGGUCUGUUAAGUGUAGAGUAAAAUCUCCAGGGCUCAACCCGGAAACUGCUCUGCAUACUGGCAGACUGGAGUGAUGCAGAGGUUUGUGGAAUUCCUGGUGUAACGGUGAAAUGUGUUGAUAUCAGGAGGAACACCCAUGGCGAAGGCAGCAAACUGGGCAUUAACUGACGCUGAGGCGCGAAAGCGUGGGUAGCAAACAGG